Molecule: transfer RNA, 74 nt
Filed under: Cladophialophora psammophila CBS 110553
Lineage: Eukaryota; Fungi; Ascomycota; Eurotiomycetes; Chaetothyriales; Herpotrichiellaceae
Rfam family: tRNA
About the family: Transfer RNA (tRNA) molecules are approximately 80 nucleotides in length. Their secondary structure includes four short double-helical elements and three loops (D, anti-codon, and T loops). Further hydrogen bonds mediate the characteristic L-shaped molecular structure. tRNAs have two regions of fundamental functional importance: the anti-codon, which is responsible for specific mRNA codon recognition, and the 3' end, to which the tRNAs corresponding amino acid is attached (by aminoacyl-tRNA synthetases). tRNAs cope with the degeneracy of the genetic code in two manners: having more than one tRNA (with a specific anti-codon) for a particular amino acid; and 'wobble' base-pairing, i.e. permitting non-standard base-pairing at the 3rd anti-codon position.
Source: Rfam by way of RNAcentral
AGUGGUCUAGUGGUAUGACGUUUCCUUAGCAUGCUAUCUAAGCAUGGAAAAGGUUCUGGGUUCGAUUCCCAGCU